GAGAAAUUGACUGUCUCUAAUUAAUUUUAUUAGAAUUUUAUUUUUAAGUUAAAAAGCUUAAAUAUAUUUAAAAGACGAGAAGACCCUGUAGAGUUUAAUAUAUUUAAUUUAUUAAUUUUAAGAAUUUAUUUUUUAUAACUAUGGUAUAUUUAAUUGGGGUGAUUAAAAAAUUUAAUAAACUUUUUUUUUAUAUUUAUAUUUAUUAAUAAAUUAAUGAUCCAAAAAUUUUGAUUAUAAGAUAAAUUACCUUAGGGAUAACAGCGUAAUUUUAUUAGAGAGUUCUAAUCGAAAAUAAAGUUUGCGACCUCGAUGUUGGAUUAAAAUUUAUAUAUGGUGUAGAAGCUAUAUUAUUAAGUCUGUUCGACUUUUAAAAUUUUAC
RNAcentral lists this ribosomal RNA (379 nucleotides) under Longitarsus lateripunctatus. RNAcentral describes it as "partial 16S ribosomal RNA". The stretch from base 254 to 379 matches the Rfam family "Bacterial large subunit ribosomal RNA", at positions 2473 to 2599 of the family's 2925-position model. Lineage: Eukaryota; Metazoa; Arthropoda; Insecta; Coleoptera; Chrysomelidae. The record is from RNAcentral.